GCCUACGGGUGGCUGCAGUGGGGAAUAUUGCACAAUGGGGGAAACCCUGAUGCAGCAACGCCGCGUGAGUGAUGACGGCCUUCGGGUUGUAAAGCUCUGUCUUCAGGGACGAUAAUGACGGUACCUGAGGAGGAAGCCACGGCUAACUACGUGCCAGCAGCCGCGGUAAUACGUAGGUGGCGAGCGUUGUCCGGAGUUACUGGGCGUAAAGGGAGCGUAGGCGGAUUUUUAAGUGAGAUGUGAAAUACUCGGGCUUAACCUGAGUGCUGCAUUUCAAACUGGAAGUCUAGAGUGCAGGAGAGGAGAAGGGAAUUCCUAGUGUAGCGGUGAAAUGCGUAGAGAUUAGGAAGAACACCAGUGGCGAAGGCGCUUCUCUGGACUGUAACUGACGCUGAGGCUCGAAAGCAUGGGGAGCAAACAGGAUUAGAUACCCCUGUAGUCCAA
RNAcentral lists this ribosomal RNA (444 nucleotides) under uncultured Clostridiaceae bacterium. RNAcentral describes it as "bacterial SSU rRNA". It matches the Rfam family "Bacterial small subunit ribosomal RNA", at positions 337 to 798 of the family's 1533-position model. Lineage: Bacteria; Bacillati; Bacillota; Clostridia; Eubacteriales; Clostridiaceae. The record is from RNAcentral.